AAUAAAGGGAAGGGUCACUCUGGCAAAACAAACUACAGCGCAAUACUUUUGGCUCUUUGUGGCAUCCACAUGUGACCGCUGUGGCCACCAUCUCCAAAUGUUAACCAGGUCCACCCAUGGAUGCUCCUGGGACCAGCAGUUCUGUUCCAUCUUCUGAUCCAAGAGAAUGGAAAAUGGAGGAGAAAAGUGAAAGAGAAAUCCUUAUCAAUUUCAAUCACUUUCACUGACUUUUUUGAGCACGUAUCUUAUCAUAGCUUAUCUUUUUUGUUCUUUAAAAAUUCUAGUGGAAUGGUCUUCUUGGGGCCUGGGAAAGAGAAUGACACCUUGUACAAUAUUGCAGGUUCAGAAUCUCUGCACAUUCCUCUUUUAUGAGGGAAAUAAGUAGUUAUUGCUUGUCAUGGACCAGGACUCAUUUGAAUCUGAUUCUGAAGAAGCUGCUCCAGCUGAACCAGUGGAAUGUCAACUUUAAAAGAAAUUAAGACAGAAUCAACUGAGGCUGAUCAAAUACAUGAACCACCAGAACAGUUGGAGAAGUCAGAAGAUGAUGUACAGCAUGUGUGUCAAAUUCGCAACGUCACGUGACGUGUCACAACGUAUUGUGACUUUUCCCCAUUGCUGGCAAUGGGAUGGGAUUGGUUUUGGUGUGACACAUCUGGCCCGUGGGCUGGCAGUUUGACACCCCUGAAUGUACAGUCUUCAAGUCAUCAAGCGCAAUGAGCAAGAGUGGAAGAGUAAAGGCACUUAAUGUAGCACUUUAUCAGGCAAGGAACUGACUACCUUAACUGAAGUUAAAUGGUUGCAGAUUCAUUUAAGAGGGAAUCCUGACCCACAUUUUUCUCUUGGAAGAAACUGUCUGCUUUCUUUUGUUUGGUGUAUCGUUCCUGUAUAUUCUGCUUGGACAAGAAACCUUUAAACUCUGACUUUUCAACAGGUUCAUUAAUCUGGUUUGAUUCUUUCCAUUUUGGAUUGCAUUUUGAUUACUCUUCUGCAUAUUCCUGUGGAAAGUGAAAUUACUUGGGCAAAGUUUAUCUGCAAGAGACUCUGAUUUGUGCUCUUUUGUUUGUUUGUCAUUUAUCUACUCAGCUUUGAAUAAACUGCUACCAUCAUCUUGCCAACUCUACGUCAUACCUCUCCCCAUUUCAUCAACACGUGGUUAGCAAAAGAAUUAAGGGAUCUUGUCUCUAAAGAAUUUAGAAAUAAAUGGUUAAAAUAAAUGUACAAUAUUCAACUGCAAAGAAUUCUUCAAUCUAAUCUCCUUUCCCCUUUUCAAUUUGUUUAAUGAGGUUGUAAACUUUAGUUUUCAUGGCUAUAAGGCACUGAGAGGACUUGUCAUUUGACUUGUCAAUUCUUCCUUGACAAUGAAAACUGGUUUUUCUGUGUUGCAGCUCACCCACUGGAAACAGCUAAACCAGUUUGUUCAUGUGUGCCUUUGAGGUAGUUUUUGACUCUCAGUGGCUGUUUGCACUAGUCCCUGCAGAUUUCGUGAUAAGAUUUUUCAGAAGUGGUUUGUCAUUGUCUUCUUCCUAUAGAUGAAGAAGACUGACUGGCCCAAGGUCACCCAGCUAAUUUCGUGUCUAGACUAGAACUCAGCCUCCUUGUUUCUCACCUGAUGUCUUAGCUAUUAAACUAUCUCUAAACCAGUUGCCAGUAUCUUAUAUAUACCCCGUCAACUAAUAAUGAUGAAUUUACAAAUGUUAUUAUUCAGAUGUUGCUCAACUUAGUCAACAAGAGCAACUGAUGGGGACAUCAGGAUUCAUCUUUUGUUGUUCCUACUUCGCGGUCCAUGCUAUUUCACUCCCCAGGAUCAUUAUCAGACAGGGAGGAAGGAUCUCCAGACUUUUUAAAGCCUUUCAACAUUCAAUUGAAUUAUACUUUUCGUUGAAACCUAUUGAGUUUUUCACAGGUUGUAUUUGAGUGACAUUUAUUCUUGGAUUCUUCAUACUUAUAAAAUAAGCAGUUCCUAUAAUAAGCACCAAUGAACCCAUGAUUAAAGUACAAAAGGCGUCCCAAACUAUACAUAUAUUUUAUGUAGAGGUUUAAGCAAUGCUUUAUAAAUUUGUGCCAGAACAACUGAUAAUUCAAAAAUUUAUACCAAGGAACAUGCAGUAGUUCAUUAUAGAGUUUCAAAUGUAUUCCAGGGAUGAAUUGCCUUUAGAUGAUCAUUUCUGUGUUUAAUGAACUGAGAAAUGAGCUCAUUCACCAAGACAUCACAGAUAAUUUAGCUGAAUUAUUUCAAUGGUGUGUAACUAUAGUAAGUUGGAGCAGCUGAGAUGCAUGGUGGGUGGGUGGGAAGAGAUUUUAUAUCUCCUGUGCUCAUUCUCUUUUCCCACCAAUUUUGUAUGAUUUCUAUGGUUGAACCUCUGAAGCUUUCUUAGUUACAAACUACCAAAGAUGUUCCCUUGAUUAAUUUAUUUGUGUUUUAAACUGCUUUAGAUAUAUAAUUCUUGCAGAUUAUUGUAUAGUAAUAAAAGCAUUCACAGUGCAACAAUAAACAAAAAUUGUGAAUAUCAUGCAUAAUUAUAGUUUAUGCCUGUAGCCAGUGCUUUUUUUC
Crotalus tigris (Tiger rattlesnake) is the source of this 2551-nucleotide long non-coding RNA. RefSeq lists it as uncharacterized. The transcript has 3 exons. NCBI's taxonomy places the organism in Eukaryota, Metazoa, Chordata, Lepidosauria, Squamata, Viperidae. The record is from RefSeq and is a predicted model, not a curated record.